GGAACGGCACAAUGCCUCCAGAGACAGGAGAGAUAUAGCAUGCAGUUCUCUUGAGAAAAUUUCACAAAAACAAUGUUGUUGCUCGGACCGGUCAUACUUUUCUAUUAUUUUGGUGAAACUACUGGGUAUGGAAUCAAAUCAGAUAACAACACCAUAGUUUUAAUGGAGGAUAAAAACAUUACGCUCUCGUGCACAUAUGAAGGCUCAGUAGACAGUCUGUACUGGUACCGACAAAAACCUGAAUCAAGAUCAGAAUUUCUAAUAAUGAUUGAUGAAGCUUCUGAAUAUGUGACAAAAGCCAAUCCACCUGACCCCCGUCUGUCAAUCAAACUUCAUAAAGCACAAAAUCGUGUUCAUCUGGAAAUCUCCUCUGCAGCAGUUAUGGAUUCUGCUAUGUAUUACUGUGCUUUGAGGCCCACAGUAACAGGAAACACACACACACUCUACUAAAAGUGAAAUUUCCAUGAGACAUUACACCCAGAGGGAAUCUUCGGCACGGAAGUUAAAUUUUGAGAAUGACAAUUCAACUUCAAUCUCAACCACCAUAUUCAAAUCCUGGAGUUCUGCAACCAGCAUAAUGUGACAGCAGCUACAAUGAGUGCUCCACCAUUGAGACAAAUGUGGUGUAGUCGAUUUACAGGGGGGGAUUUUUAUUACACUGCCACUUCUUUUUUCUAAGGCACGUUUAUAAAAGCUACUUAAAUGCUUUAACCGAACUAAGCCCUCAUCCUGGCUUAAUCUGAGAUUUGUCUGUGAAACCAGGCCAAAUCCUCCCAAACGAAAAUAUCUGGGCAAAGAAAUGUGGGUGGAAAUGUUAUCAAUACUUGAAUCAAUUGUAUGUACAAGUCUGUCAUUUAACAUGUAUUAUUUAUUAUUCAUAAGAUUG
Non-coding RNA from Pimephales promelas (fathead minnow), 886 nucleotides. Lineage: Eukaryota; Metazoa; Chordata; Actinopteri; Cypriniformes; Leuciscidae. The record is from the annotation of a RefSeq genome assembly.